AGAUUGAACGCUGGCGGCAGGCCUAACACAUGCAAGUCGAGCGGCAGCACGGGUACUUGUACCUGGUGGCGAGCGGCGGACGGGUGAGUAAUGCCUAGGAAUCUGCCUGAUAGUGGGGGAUAACGUUCGGAAACGGGCGCUAAUACCGCAUACGUCCUACGGGAGAAAGUGGGGGAUCUUCGGACCUCACGCUAUCAGAUGAGCCUAGGUCGGAUUAGCUAGUUGGUAGGUAAAGGCCUACCAAGGCUACGAUCCGUAACUGGUCUGAGAGGAUGAUCAGUCACACUGGAACUGAGAC
RNAcentral lists this ribosomal RNA (298 nucleotides) under uncultured soil bacterium. Its description in RNAcentral is "partial 16S ribosomal RNA". It matches the Rfam family "Bacterial small subunit ribosomal RNA", at positions 26 to 325 of the family's 1533-position model. The record is from RNAcentral.